GUGCAAAGGAUGGUGUGGCAGAACUGCUCGUGGGAACACUCACAUAGACAUGGACCAUCACGAUCUCAUGUCCCUUCAGAGCCAGCUCCUGCUCCACCGUCCUCACUCCCGUGAUCACACAUUCAUCCUCACAAUCCGAAUCGAUCAUCAUCCCAUCCCCUAUAUGCACAUCCUCCUGCUCUGACAGAGCAACUAUCCCUGCAAGACCAAAAUCAGCAACCGUAUCACUCGAUCUAGUCUCCGAUAUAACCCGGGAACACUCGGCCACAUCCCUUCUCACACACCUACCCAUGACUCUCUCACGAAGGUCAUAUCGCCUGGACGACAGACCCAAGGACCGUCCCUCCUCCUCCACAGACUCCCACCACGUGAUCUCUUUAGCGGGAUACUAUAAUACAAA
This 400-nucleotide small RNA is filed under the name Arabidopsis thaliana (thale cress). RNAcentral's name for it is "ATSL089650". The record is from RNAcentral. Lineage: Eukaryota; Viridiplantae; Streptophyta; Magnoliopsida; Brassicales; Brassicaceae.